This 253-nucleotide ribosomal RNA is filed under the name uncultured bacterium. RNAcentral describes it as "partial 16S ribosomal RNA". It matches the Rfam family "Bacterial small subunit ribosomal RNA", at positions 524 to 776 of the family's 1533-position model. The record is from RNAcentral.
UACGUAGGGUGCGAGCGUUGUCCGGAAUUAUUGGGCGUAAAGGGCUCGUAGGCGGUCUGUCACGUCGGGAGUGAAAACACGGGGCUUAACCCCGUGCCUGCUUCCGAUACGGGCAGACUAGAGGUAUGCAGGGGAGACUGGAAUUCCUGGUGUAGCGGUGAAAUGCGCAGAUAUCAGGAGGAACACCGGUGGCGAAGGCGGGUCUCUGGGCCGAUACUGACGCUGAGGAGCGAAAGCGUGGGGAGCGAACAGG